GCGCGGGUAGCUCAGUGGUAGAGCAGUUGGCUUUUAACCAAUUGGUCGUGGGUUCGAAUCCCACCCCGCGCACCA
This 75-nucleotide transfer RNA is filed under the name Prosthecobacter dejongeii. RNAcentral describes it as "tRNA-Lys". It matches the Rfam family "tRNA". Rfam says of the family: Transfer RNA (tRNA) molecules are approximately 80 nucleotides in length. Their secondary structure includes four short double-helical elements and three loops (D, anti-codon, and T loops). RNAcentral also lists the same sequence under 4 other names. The record is from RNAcentral. Lineage: Bacteria; Pseudomonadati; Verrucomicrobiota; Verrucomicrobiia; Verrucomicrobiales; Verrucomicrobiaceae.